This 77-nucleotide transfer RNA is filed under the name Limnochordaceae bacterium. RNAcentral describes it as "tRNA-His". It matches the Rfam family "tRNA". Rfam says of the family: Transfer RNA (tRNA) molecules are approximately 80 nucleotides in length. Their secondary structure includes four short double-helical elements and three loops (D, anti-codon, and T loops). The record is from RNAcentral. Lineage: Bacteria; Bacillati; Bacillota; Limnochordia; Limnochordales; Limnochordaceae. RNAcentral also lists the same sequence under 1 other name.
GUGGGCGUAGCUCAGUUGGUCAGAGCACCAGGCUGUGGACCUGGGGGUCGUGGGUUCGAGUCCCACCGUCCACCCCA